AUGCAAGUCGAGCGAACUGAUUAGAAGCUUGCUUCUAUGACGUUAGCGGCGGACGGGUGAGUAACACGUGGGCAACCUGCCUGUAAGACUGGGAUAACUUCGGGAAACCGAAGCUAAUACCGGAUAGGAUCUUCUCCUUCAUGGGAGAUGAUUGAAAGAUGGUUUCGGCUAUCACUUACAGAUGGGCCCGCGGUGCAUUAGCUAGUUGGUGAGGUAACGGCUCACCAAGGCAACGAUGCAUAGCCGACCUGAGAGGGUGAUCGGCCACACUGGGACUGAGACACGGCCCAGACUCCUACGGGAGGCAGCAGUAGGGAAUCUUCCGCAAUGGACGAAAGUCUGACGGAGCAACGCCGCGUGAGUGAUGAAGGCUUUCGGGUCGUAAAACUCUGUUGUUAGGGAAGAACAAGUACGAGAGUAACUGCUUGUACCUUGACGGUACCUAACCAGAAAGCCACGGCUAACUACGUGCCAGCAGCCGCGGUAAUACGUAGGUGGCAAGCGUUAUCCGGAAUUAUUGGGCGUAAAGCGCGCGCAGGCGGUUUCUUAAGUCUGAUGUGAAAGCCCACGGCUCAACCGUGGAGGGUCAUUGGAAACUGGGGAACUUGAGUGCAGAAGAGAAAAGCGGAAUUCCACGUGUAGCGGUGAAAUGCGUACAGAUGUGGAGGAACACCAUUGGCGAAGGCGGCUUUCUGGUCUGUAACUGACGCUGAGGCGCGAAAGCGUGUGGAGCACACAGGAUUACAUACUCUGGUAGUCCACGCCGUAAACG
This 772-nucleotide ribosomal RNA is filed under the name Priestia megaterium. RNAcentral describes it as "bacterial SSU rRNA". It matches the Rfam family "Bacterial small subunit ribosomal RNA", at positions 55 to 808 of the family's 1533-position model. The record is from RNAcentral. Lineage: Bacteria; Bacillati; Bacillota; Bacilli; Caryophanales; Bacillaceae.